UACGGUGGGGACUAGCGUUGUUCGGAAUUACUGGGCGUAAAGCGCACGUAGGCGGAUUUGUAAGUCAGGGGUGAAAUCCCGGGGCUCAACCUCGGAACUGCCUUUGAUACUGCAAAUCUCGAGUCCGGAAGAGGUGAGUGGAAUUCCUAGUGUAGAGGUGAAAUUCGUAGAUAUUAGGAAGAACACCAGUGGCGAAGGCGGCUCACUGGUCCGGUACUGAGGCUGAGGUGCGAAAGCGUGGGGAGCAAACAGG
RNAcentral lists this ribosomal RNA (253 nucleotides) under uncultured bacterium. Its description in RNAcentral is "partial 16S ribosomal RNA". It matches the Rfam family "Bacterial small subunit ribosomal RNA", at positions 524 to 776 of the family's 1533-position model. The record is from RNAcentral.